This 363-nucleotide ribosomal RNA is filed under the name uncultured bacterium. RNAcentral describes it as "bacterial SSU rRNA". It matches the Rfam family "Bacterial small subunit ribosomal RNA", at positions 30 to 388 of the family's 1533-position model. The record is from RNAcentral.
AUUGAACGCUGGCGGAAUGCUUUACACAUGCAAGUCGAACGGCAGCACGGGGCAACCUGGUGGCGAGUGGCGAACGGGUGAGUAAUACAUCGGAACGUGCCCAAUCGUGGGGGAUAACGUAGCGAAAGUUACGCUAAUACCGCAUACGAUCUACGGAUGAAAGCGGGGGAUCGCAAGACCUCGCGCGAGUGGAGCGGCCGAUGUCAGAUUAGGUAGUUGGUGGGGUAAAGGCUCACCAAGCCAACGAUCUGUAGCUGGUCUGAGAGGACGACCAGCCACACUGGAACUGAGACACGGUCCAGACCUCCGUACGGGAGCACGCAGGGUAGGGGUUAAUUUUUCGGAACAAGGUUGGGGCCGACG